This 474-nucleotide ribosomal RNA is filed under the name uncultured Acidovorax sp. RNAcentral describes it as "bacterial SSU rRNA". It matches the Rfam family "Bacterial small subunit ribosomal RNA", at positions 907 to 1382 of the family's 1533-position model. Lineage: Bacteria; Pseudomonadati; Pseudomonadota; Betaproteobacteria; Burkholderiales; Comamonadaceae. The record is from RNAcentral.
UAGAAUUGACGGGACCGCACAAGCGGUGGAUGAUGUGGUUAAUUCGAUGCAACGCGAAAACCUUACCACCUUUGACAUGUACGGAAUCCUUUAGAGAUAGAGGAGUGCUCGAAAGAGAGCCGUAACACAGGUGCUGCAUGGCUGUCGUCAGCUCGUGUCGUGAGAUGUUGGGUUAAGUCCCGCAACGAGCGCAACCCUUGUCAUUAGUUGCUACAUUCAGUUGGGCACUCUAAUGAGACUGCCGGUGACAAACCGGAGGAAGGUGGGGAUGACGUCAAGUCCUCAUGGCCCUUAUAGGUGGGGCUACACACGUCAUACAAUGGAUGGUACAAAGGGUCGCCAACCCGCGAGGGGGAGCCAAUCCCAUAAAGCCAUUCGUAGUCCGGAUCGCAGUCUGCAACUCGACUGCGUGAAGUCGGAAUCGCUAGUAAUCGUGGAUCAGAAUGUCCACGGUCGAAUACGUUCCCGGGCCUU